GGGCUUAAGCGGAGGGAGUCGAGCCAGCGUCGCCGCGAUGGUGUUGUUGGAGAGCGAGCAGUUCCUGACGGAGCUGACCAGACUUUUCCAGAAGUGCCGGACGUCGGGCAGCGUCUAUAUCACCUUGAAGAAGUAUCAGCACUGUGGUGAGCUCCAAGGAAGUGAAUAAGUUUCAGAUGGCUUAUUCAAACCUCCUUAGAGCUAACAUGGAUGGGCUGAAGAAGAGAGACAAAAAGAACAAAACUAAGAAGACCAAAGCAGCAGCAGCAGCAGCAGCAGCAGCACCUGCCGCAGCAGCAACAGCACCAACAACAGCAGCAACAACAGCAGCAACAGCAGCACAGUAAAGGGCAUACAUUUCCUGCUUUCACCAAUUAACCACUGAAUUGCUAUUUUUUCCUUUUGGCCAGAUAGCUAGGUUUCUGGUUCCCCCACAGUAGGUGUUUUCACAUAAGAUUAGGGUCCUUUUGGAAAGAAUAGUUGCAGUGUUUAUAGGAUAGUUGUGGUAAGAAUCUAGUUUAUUUUGCAUUUGGCUAAUUGGUCUGUGCUGCAUGGUUAUAUACUCCUGGAUUAUAGAUUAAAAGUCUCUGUAGACAUCUCUGUGAAGAGCAAGCUAUCAUUAAACAUGUCUG
Molecule: long non-coding RNA, 632 nt
Filed under: Homo sapiens (human)
Lineage: Eukaryota; Metazoa; Chordata; Mammalia; Primates; Hominidae
Description: HSALNT0218902
Source: RNAcentral